Molecule: long non-coding RNA, 439 nt
Filed under: Nicotiana benthamiana
Lineage: Eukaryota; Viridiplantae; Streptophyta; Magnoliopsida; Solanales; Solanaceae
Description: long non-coding RNA (NBEN_LNC024517)
Source: RNAcentral
UUUGGAAUGGACGAAACAAGGGCAUUAACUUGGAAUCAAUAGAUUGCCACAAAAUACUGCAUAAUUGAACAUCAAUCUUCUCCCAAUGUGCUUUGGCUUUUUCAUCUCCGUCACUAGACUCCAUGGUUAGAUGAUCCUGAACACCUUGGCCUUUACACCACAACUCGAGAGACGAAGCCCAAGCUAGGUAGUUUGAACCUCCCAUUAAAGGUUCUGAGGUAAUCAUAAUACCGGAACUGCCAGAACCCUGGUUUCUGGACCCGAAGAAGCCCAAGCUAGGUAGUUUGAACCUCUCAUUAAAGGUUCUAAGGUAAUCAUAAUACCGGAACUGCCAGAACCCUGGUUUCUAGACCCGAAAGCAUCUAGUCCCAAAGACAUCUUUGGAGUAUCAACUGAAAACUCGCUAAAACUGAAACAGAGAACUGAAAACUAGCGCUGC